Long non-coding RNA from Panthera uncia (snow leopard), 2076 nucleotides. RefSeq lists it as uncharacterized. The record is from RefSeq and is a predicted model, not a curated record. Lineage: Eukaryota; Metazoa; Chordata; Mammalia; Carnivora; Felidae. The transcript is spliced from 2 exons.
GGGGGGGGGGAGAAAGAAAAAAGCAGCUGUUAAAACAGUUGUUGUGCACCAGGGGAAGGGCCCUGCCUUCCUUCCACGCUGCCAAACUCCGUAAACAGUUGUCAUUUUCUUUCACUCGGUGUGGCCCUGCCAGCGGCUGAGUCCCCUGGUUUGGGGGGACGGAGGUGUCAGGCCAACUUCAAGUUUUAGUCGCUUUCGAUGUAAAGACAGAAGAUUUUGCAUUUCCCAAGAAAAGGAAUUCCUGAAUUCCAAACCCGAGGCAGCAACCUGUUCAGAGGAAGUGUGUGGGUCUCUCACAGACUGUGUUAAUUGAACUUUUAGAGUCUUUGUAAGUCAUCAAUAAGUGCAGAUAAAGACACCCACCCCUGUAAAAGUUACAAACGUCCAAUUUAUAUUUUCAGAAUGUCAGCUACCGUGGGUCUUGUUUCCCUUCCCUCCUGGUGGACGAGAGUUUAAGUGCUGUAAUCAUAGCAACUGUGGGCAAACCAAGGAGGUUAGAAAGGAGCCGCUCUAGGAAACAGAAGUACAAAGGAGAAGGCACACCCACUCCCGGGCAUAUUAAUCCAGACGGACUCAAAUAAUGAAACAGAGACCAAAAAGGAGCUUUGCCAAUCCUGUGCUAGGCUGUUGGCGUGGUCACAAGGAAGCCUCUGCAGCUUAGGGUACGACGGGGCCAGGUGUUCUAGGGAGCUUAAUUAAAAUGCAUUGUGACAGAACCAGAGUUGAAGUUUGAGAAUGAACAUGGCCGGCCAAACUUGAAUCGUUUCGAACAUUCAAACAGCUGAACUGUCACACAUAGCCCAGUGGAAUAAAGUGGCCAACCACCAGGUCAGAGUAUCAUUAUUUUUUUUUCAUUUCCAUAUUUUAUACAGUUUCAUAUACGCGGGGGCAGGUUCCUAACAUCAAUUAAUGACUGGUGGGCACAAUGAGACACUUCACGCAUCUCCUGCCUUUGCCUCCAGCCCCUAGCCGCUCUAGUGGCCAGAGCGAACAAUAUGUUCAGAGCAUCACGGCCAUUCAGUGAAUGCAGGCCUUCAGAAGUCAGCUCUUCCAUUUCUCCACUGCGUGCAAGGGACAAUUACUCAAUUUUAUCCUUCGAAAACUUCAGUAUACAUAUACGUACUUCCCCCCGAAACUUGCUGUUACAGAUAGAUUAACAGGCUUUCUCCUGAUAUAAAAGACCACAAUAUGUUGAAGGUCAUUACCCCCAGCCUCCACCCUCAACUCACUCCGUGUUUUAUCCUUGUAAUUUAUGGCAAAUGCCAGCAGGCCCUGCCUAGUAUUGAAACACAACACAAAUUCAGAAACAGCAACAAACAAGAAUUUAAAAAAACAAAAAACAAAGAUGAUGUCAGCUGUUUUCUCUGCUGUUUGCAAAACAUGACAAAGGACAGGCUAAUGUUUGGUAUUGUCUAAUGUGACUCCUAGUGACCAAGGGACAACAGUCACACACAUCAGGCUGAACCAGAAGACACAAUGUCUCCUUUACUUAACCACAAAUGAGAGAAUGCAUAAAAGUCAUUUUAAAAUGAGACAGGUGAGAAUAACAGGUAAAAAAUUAAAACACUGGCUUGUAAAAACAUUAUCAGGUGUAUUAAUUGUAUGGAUGUCUCCGCUUGUAUCACAGAGAAUUUAUUCACAAUUACGUUAACCUCAAAGUGAAUCUCCCCGUUUCAAACUUGAGCGAGUACACACAUCACACGGGAUCCCAUGGAGCCCACACAACAACACCCAACGCACGCACACAAGAACACAAAAUCCAAGGAUUGUACCUUUGGAAGGUGACUGCCUUGUUCAUAGCACUAGACUUUUUCUCCUACACCUUCUAAGUCCUUGUUUGCUCCACAAAGAGUUUUGUAGCCAUCUGAUGUUCUAUUACUAAGCUAGUGGCCUUUCAGGAGAGCUCUCUCCCUUCUGAAAAAAGCAAACAACUGCAUAGAUAUCAUUACACUAAGGAAAUCUCUUAGAAAAACCAAACAACUUGCUAAUCUCUCCAGCCCCUUCAUCCAAGCAAAAGAUAAGAAAAGCAAACCUAAGUCUGUUUCAACCACAUUCCAGGGACAAGUUCCCCUUUUU